ACCAAACAGCCUUGCUUCCCUCCCAUUCUCAGACUUUUUUUUCGUGUAAACCAAUCUGUUAAACCAGUGGGUUGAGGAAAUUAGGGCUGAGGGAAUUAGGGCUGAGGAUCGAAGAGAUCGAUCUCUGGACCUUCGAACGGCCAGCGUCGGCGUCCACGAGUUGAGUUCUGGCCUGUCCCACUGCUAGCUUCCGCCCGAAAUCAACCCCAGAAAAUUCCGCUGGAACUUCCAACGAGCAGAGAUCUCUGGAGCUUCCAACGGCAAGCGUGGGCGUCCACGAGAUUACUUCCUGUCCCACGGCCAGCGUCCACCCUCAAUCAACCCUCGAGACUCGCCUGGAGGUUCCGACGGCGACUUUGUGAGACUUCCUUCCCUUAGAAGUAGCCAACGAUUGCCCCCUUGUAACCAGUCGAAAAUGGGCAAUUGGGUCUGGCCACCUUGCUUCUGCCGACUUGUAUUAAGUCAGGUGGUAAGCGGCAUUUAGAGCUACGACCCUUCAUGUC
Juglans regia (Persian walnut) is the source of this 503-nucleotide long non-coding RNA. RefSeq lists it as uncharacterized. Lineage: Eukaryota; Viridiplantae; Streptophyta; Magnoliopsida; Fagales; Juglandaceae. The record is from RefSeq and is a predicted model, not a curated record. The transcript has 3 exons.